UCAGGACGAACGCUGGCGGCGUGCCUAAUACAUGCAAGUCGAACGGUCUUUCUAUGGAAGCUUGCUUCCACUGAGAAGAUAGUGGCGAACGGGUGAGUAACACGUGGGUAACCUGCCCAUAAGAGGGGGAUAACAUCCGGAAACGGGUGCUAAUACCGCAUAGUUUUCUUGAUUGCAUGAUUGAGAAAGGAAAGACGGCCUUUGUGCUGUCGCUUAUGGAUGGACCCGCGGCGUAUUAGUUAGUUGGUGAGGUAACGGCUUACCAAGACGAUGAUACGUAGCCGACCUGAGAGGGUGAUCGGCCACAUUGGGACUGAGACACGGCCCAAACUCCUACGGGAGGCAGCAGUAGGGAAUCUUCCGCAAUGGACGAAAGUCUGACGGAGCAACGCCGCGUGAGUGAAGAAAGGUUUUCGGAUCGUAAAACUCUGUUGUCAGAGAAGAACAAGUUGGAGAGUAACUGCUCCAGCCUUGACGGUAUCUGACCAGAAAGCCACGGCUAACUACGUGCCAGCAGCCGC
This 521-nucleotide ribosomal RNA is filed under the name uncultured bacterium. RNAcentral's name for it is "bacterial SSU rRNA". It matches the Rfam family "Bacterial small subunit ribosomal RNA", at positions 24 to 518 of the family's 1533-position model. The record is from RNAcentral.